UUUUUUUUUAAAGAUUUUUAUUUGUUUAUUUGAGAGAGAGAGCACACAAGCAGUGGGAAGGGGCAGAGGGAGACAGAGAAGGAGAAGCAGACUCCCUGCUGAGCAGGGAGCCCCAUGUGGGGCUCAAUCCCAGGACCCCAAGAUCAUGAUCUGAGCGUGAUGCUUAACUGACUGAGCCACCCAGGUGCCCGAGGCUCUUUAAAUAGUAAUGAUAACUACCACCAUUUAUUGAGCACUUACUAUCUGACUGAAAAUAUACUAGAUACUUUACAUAUAUUAUCAGUUCAUUUUUACAACCCUAAGAGGUGGUUAUUUUUCCCAAUUUACAAAUGAGGUAAUUGAGGCCAGAGAUAUUAAGUACCCACCAAAACUCCCACAACUAACAAAGGAUUGAUUGGGAUUAGGGUCCAGGCUAGGCUGAUUCUGGAGCCCAUGGUUUUAUCCAUAACGUUAUACUUAAAGAUAAAUUUUUGAUAGGGGCGCCUGAGUGGCUCAGUAGGUUAGGCAUCCAAGGCAUCCAACUCUUGACUUUGGCUCAGGUCAGGAUCUCAGGGUCAUGAGAUCAAGCCCUGCAUUGGGCACUGUGCUUGGUGUGGAGUCUGCUUAUCCCCCUCCUACACUCUGCUUCUUGCUCUCUCUCUCUAAAUUAAUUUUUUAAAUAUCUUAUUUAUUUAUUCAUGAGAGAAACAGAGAGAGAGGCAGAGACAUAGGUAGAGGGAGAAACAGGUUGUCUGUGGGGAACCUGAUGCAGUACUUGAUCCCAGGACUCCAGGAUCACAACCUGAGCCAAAGGCAGACACUCAACCACCAAGCAACCCAGGUGCCCCUAAAACAAUCUUUUUUUGAAAAAAGAUAAUUUUUUUACAGUAAAAAAGGCACCUCAUGUAGAAAAUAUGAAUGAAAAGAUUUCUCCUUGUCAAAAAUAGGUGUAAAACAGUAAGGACUCAAUCCUUUACCUGCCGUUGUGGUGUGAUCCAACAGCAAGUACAACAGAGUGGAAGUCAGAAACCUGAACUCGAAAGCAGGACCUGGGUAAAACAGCAAAAGCAUUGACUUCAAUAACUAGCUCCUUGUUCCAUAGUACCCUCUGGUGGCCAGUUUAUGUCAUUCAAGAUUAUUCCCUUUUUUUUGCUUUGCUGUUUUGUUUUUUUAUUUUUGAGGUUAUUUCUCUCUUUCUUUGCUAUUUUAUCUUACUUUAUUUUAUUCUUUUAUUUAACAGAGAAUGAGAGAGAGAGGGAGUACAAGCAGGGGGAGUGGUAGGCAGAGGGAGAGGGAGAAGCAGACUCCCCGCUGAGCAGAGAGCUGGACAUGGGGCUUGAUCCCAAGACCCUGAGAUCAUGACCUGAACAGAAGGCACUCAACUAACUGAGCCACUCAGGCACACCAUUCAAGAUUAUUCUUAAAUUUAAGAAUUAAAUGGUAAACAACCAAAGAUUUACUCAGGGUCAACCUUGGAUAAAGUAGAUUGUCUGUCAAAAUGUUUCAAUACUUAGUCCUGAUUCUGUUUUUGGUACUUGAAAACAACCACCUUCAAGUCAUUUCCUCCGCAAGUUGUUUCCUCUGUCUUAUCCCUCUUAGUCUGACUGCUACCUUGCUAAUACAUGACUUACUUAUUAAGCAGUAAUGAAUUACUAAUUAAUUUCAGUAAGAAACAUUGAUGAAUACAAAAACUGGUGGGUUAAAGUAGGACAGUGAACUGAUAUUUGCAAGGUCUUGGAUAAUCACCCCACAAAAUAUUUAGCAAAAACGGAGGACACUGUAACUUUACAAUGGAGAACCUGGUUAUCAUCAAAGCUCUAAGUUAACAUUAGAAAUGGAACUAGUCAACACUACAUGCAAUGAGAUGCAUUGGGAAGAGCAGCAUUACUCCUGUGAUAUACUUGCCAGAAAUGCACACUCUGAGCUUACUCAUGGGGAGGUAACAAACAGAUCCAAUUUGAGGAAUCUUUUACAAUGGCUAGUUGGCAACUUUCAGAAAUAUCAGAGUCAUAACAGUCAAGGGAAGACUGAAGAACUGUUCCAAAUUGAAGGAGACUGGAGAAACAUGACUACUGAAUACAGUACAUGAUCCAGGACUGGAUCCUUAGGCUAUAAACACUGUUGGGGCCACUGAUAAAACCUCAGUAGGGUCGGAGUUAGGGUAUGUGAGAGCACUUCCUGGAUCUUGCAACUUUUCUUCAGUAAGUCUGAACUUGUUACAAAAUACAGUUUGAAAAAUACAAGGCAUAGUGCACAGGCAUUCCUGUUUUGGCUUGCAAUGAUUUCACUGAGAUUUCGCUCAUCUUCAAUCCUAGAAGAUGCCAUAUUCCCUUUACAAUAAGGCCCUCCCCCUUUUUUUUCUUUACUAAUAGGAACCUACCACACCUCUAUGGAUGAAGCUGCAAUUCUGGUCCUUGAAAUCUAAGGCAUAACAAAAGCUUGUGUAAUCAACAAGUCAACCCAAGAAUGAAACUGAGACCACCUGGAUGGGAAGUGGUUCCCAUACCCCCCCAAGCCUAUAGACAAAUUCCUCCUCAGUCCAGACCAAAGUCUGGCAUUUGAGGCUGCAGAUAAAUCAUUGCCUACAAAGGCUUGGACUCACAAUGGAAACCAGAACUCCACUAGUACUCCAUAGUAGACAUAGAACUUGGCUGCCUUGCAGUUUAAAUGCAGCAGAAACUGUUCUAUCCACUAAUACAUACAGAUUCUCAUCUCUAUCAUCAAACCUUGCUUCAGUUACACCUACUUUAAAAACUAUCGGGGCAGCCCGGGUGGCUCAGCGGUUUAGCACUGCCUUCAGCCCAGGGCGCGAUCCUGGACACCUGGGAUCGGAUCCCACGUCAGGCUCCCGGUGCAUGGGGCCUGCUUCUCCCUCUGCCUGUGUCUCUGCCUCUCUCUCUCUCUCUCGAAUGAAUAAAAAAAAAAAAAAAAAAAAAAAAAAAAAAAAAAAAAAAACACCUAUCCCUCCAGCAGCCUAUACUCUUAAGUCAGUGGAGGUCAAGCUUUGCUGAGAAUUUGAAUUAUUAACUAGAGAACCUGGGAACUCUAUAAAAAUCCAAAGGCCCAAGGCCCUUCCCCAUUUCAACAAGCCCGGAUCUCUGUGUUCUUUACAAGUCUCCGAGUGAUUCUGACAAUAGUUUUCAAACAAAAUUUGAGAAAAACUUACACAAGUCAGCAAUGUCAGCACAGCUUCUGCCUUUGCUGCUUUCAUUUUUGCUGAGGCCUCACCAUCACUUUAGGGCCUAGUGCAUGCAGCCCUGCCUCCAGAGAAGAAACAACACCUGUGGGAAAACAGCCACUCACCAGCAACCUGCCAAAAUGAAAAUCCUGUAUGGUCAGCAAAUAAUCAAGAUCAUUUCAGCUUCAAACCCCCAUCUCACCCCACUGGAAUACUCAAUCAUAGCCUCUCUUCCCAGUUUUUGCUCAUUGUCUAGAUAUAGUGCUCCUCACCCAAACACCAAAUAUUUGGGAAUUUUGAAGGGUCCAAUAAAUAGUAUCUCUAUUCCUUACAGCAGUGGUUCUAAACCACAGGUGAUUAUUUUGCCCUCAGAUGGAUGACAUUUGGCAAUACUGGAGCCAUUUUUGUUACAACUGGGGGAAGAAGGGAAGAGGAUGGAUGCUAUUGGCAUCUAGUAGGUAGAAAACAGAGAUGCUGCUAAAUAUCCUGUGAUGCACAGGGUGGCCCACACAACUAAGAAUUAUCCAGACAAAAAUGUCAAUAGCGUCAAGGUCAAGAAACCCUUAUUUAGAGUGGCACCCAUUCGAAGCAAAUUGCAGUGUAAGACAAAAGCAGAAGCAGAUAGGAAUCAUACUAUUAUCUUUAUUAAAGACUAGAUUGAGAUAUGUAUCUGUAGACAAGAACCCCAGUGGAUUCCUCCACCUUGCCACAGACUAGGUAACUGUAUGCCUCCCUAAAUGAGAUCAGGCUUCUCUAAAACUCCCAGCAUGUUGAAGCUAAUAAGAACAUGACCUUUUUGCAGACUAAUUCCUAGGAGAAAAAAAAAUUAAGACCUGGGCAUGACCACCCAUUUCCCAUUGGAUGGUGAGUAAAAGGGUGAAAAGACAGUAUUACACUUGAUCCUCCUCCAAAGAGAAAGAAAUAAUAGGAGGAAAGCAUUUCCCAAAAAGGGUUAGAAGUGGUAGGGUAAAGCAACAGGCUCCUAGCAGCUCCUGAGAACCAACUGUUAAAUCUUUGGGAGGUUUGGAAGCUACUUGUUAAAUCCUCGGCAGCUUGAAAUCAGCCACAGCAGGAGUGCUUAGACCAUGAAAAUAAAAAAUAUAUAUACAAAGCAGUGCUUUGGUUUUUGGAAAACAAAAUUGAAUUUAAAAAAUGAAGAAAAAAGAAAGUUGGAUCCUUUUUUGUGGAGACACUAAAAUUGAAGAUAGAUACAGGAUGCAAAAGAAACCAAAAAAACAAAAAUAUAAUCAUAGUAAAGAAGGUCUUUCUAAUCCAGGUAUACCAAUGACAAAAAUCAUAAAGGAGGAGAUUAACAUAUGACUACAUAAAAAUACAUUAUUUAUGUCCAAAAAAAGUACCAAUAACAGGUAAACUAUACACUGGGGAAGUUAUCUGCAAAAUUCAUAAGAGUAACCUCAUAACAAUUCUUACAAAUUUGUAAGAAAAAGAAUUGCAAUGGCAAAAGCCGCAUAUAAGUAAUUCAUAAAAUAUUAGAAUCCAAAAUUAAUAAAGAAAACUUUAAACAUACCAGGUUUUGCCUAUCACAGUGGCAAAGUGAGAAGAUAGAACGUAGCCAAUGUUGGGAAGUAUGUAAAGAGUACUAUGGGGAAAAAAAAAUACCAUGAAAAACUGCUAGCAAAGUGUAGUGUACAUUUUGUUGGAAACAUGACUAUUAUCCUUGACCUCCCGUUAUGAAUUUAUUCUAGGAACGAUAAAAAUGUAUAAAGAUUUAGACUACUAUGACCAAUAAUAAAGAUAG
This 4916-nucleotide long non-coding RNA is filed under the name Canis lupus familiaris (dog). RNAcentral describes it as "lncRNA (ENSCAFG00845022630.1)". Lineage: Eukaryota; Metazoa; Chordata; Mammalia; Carnivora; Canidae. The record is from RNAcentral.